This 429-nucleotide ribosomal RNA is filed under the name Acidobacteriota bacterium. RNAcentral describes it as "Acidobacteria bacterium partial 16S ribosomal RNA". It matches the Rfam family "Bacterial small subunit ribosomal RNA", at positions 355 to 776 of the family's 1533-position model. The record is from RNAcentral. Lineage: Bacteria; Pseudomonadati; Acidobacteriota.
UGGGGAAUUUUGGACAAUGGGGGAAACCCUGAUCCAGCCAUCCCGCGUGUGCGAUGAAGGCCUUCGGGUUGUAAAGCACUUUUGGCAGGAAAGAAACGUCAUGGGUUAAUACCCCGUGAAACUGACGGUACCUGCAGAAUAAGCACCGGCUAACUACGUGCCAGCAGCCGCGGUAAUACGUAGGGUGCAAGCGUUAAUCGGAAUUACUGGGCGUAAAGCGUGCGCAGGCGGUUCGGAAAGAAAGAUGUGAAAUCCCAGAGCUCAACUUUGGAACUGCAUUUUGAACUACCGGGCUAGAGUGUGUCAGAGGGAGGUGGAAUUCCGCGUGUAGCAGUGAAAUGCGUAGAUAUGCGGAGGAACACCGAUAGCGAAGGCAGCCUCCUGGGAUAACACUGACGCUCAUGCACGAAGGCGUGGGGAGCAAACAGG